AUGCAGCAGGGUUGGUUAUCUAAUUGGCUAGUCAAACAUGAGGUGGUUCAUAGAUCUUUGGGCUUUCAUCAUCGAGGAAUAGAGACAUUACAAAUAAAAGCAGAGGAUUGAGAUUCCAUUGCUGUCAUUUUAUAUGUAUAUGGUUACAAUUAUUUACGCUCCCAAUGUGCUUAUAAUGUAGCACCCGGUGGAUCUUUAGCUAGCGUUUUGUGUAGUACCUGAAUAUGCUGGAAAAUACCAAAUUGCCCAAUCACCAAAAUCUAA
This 264-nucleotide ribosomal RNA is filed under the name Triticum aestivum (bread wheat). Its description in RNAcentral is "partial small subunit ribosomal RNA". The record is from RNAcentral. Lineage: Eukaryota; Viridiplantae; Streptophyta; Magnoliopsida; Poales; Poaceae.